GAUGAACGCUGGCGGCGUGCCUAAUACAUGCAAGUCGAGCGAACAGACGAGUCGCUUGAUCCCCUGACGUUAGCGGCGGACGGGUGAGUAACACGUGGAUAACCUACCUAUAAGACUGGGACAACUUCGGGAAACCGGAGCUAAUACCGGAUAAUAUAUUGAACCGCAUGGUUCAAUAGUGAAAGACGGUUUUGCUGUCACUUAUAGACGGAUCCGCGCCGCAUUAGCUAGUUGGUAAGGUAACGGCUUACCAAGGCAACGAUGCGUAGCCGACCUGACAGGCUGAUCGGCCACCCUGGAGCUGAGACGCGCUCCAGACUCCUACGGGAGGCAUUUGUGGGCAAGCUUCCGCGAUGAGCGAAAGCCUGACGGAGCAACGCCACGUGAAUGAUGGGAAUCUUCGCAUCGUCAAACUCUCUUAUUAGGAAUAAACGAUUGUGUACGUCACUGUGCACGCCUUGGCGGUACCUAAUCAGAAUGCCACCGCUAACUACGUG
This 497-nucleotide ribosomal RNA is filed under the name uncultured bacterium. RNAcentral describes it as "partial 16S ribosomal RNA". It matches the Rfam family "Bacterial small subunit ribosomal RNA", at positions 28 to 507 of the family's 1533-position model. The record is from RNAcentral.